GAGUUUGAUCCUGGCUCAGGACGAACGCUGGCGGCGUGCUUAACACAUGCAAGUCGAACGGAAAGGCCCUGCUUUUGUGGGGUGCUCGAGUGGCGAACGGGUGAGUAACACGUGAGUAACCUGCCCUUGACUUUGGGAUAACUUCAGGAAACUGGGGCUAAUACCGGAUAGGAGCUCCUGCUGCAUGGUGGGGGUUGGAAAGUUUCGGCGGUUGGGGAUGGACUCGCGGCUUAUCAGCUUGUUGGUGGGGUAGUGGCUUACCAAGGCUUUGACGGGUAGCCGGCCUGAGAGGGUGACCGGCCACAUUGGGACUGAGAUACGGCCCAGACUCCUACGGGAGGCAGCAGUGGGAAUAUUGCACAAUGGGCGGAAGCCUGAUGCAGCAACGCCGCGUGCGGGAUGACGGCCUUCGGGUUGUAAACCGCUUUCGCCUGUGACGAAGCGUGAGUGACGGUAAUGGGUAAAGAAGCACCGGCUAACUACGUGCCAGCAGCCGCGGUGAUACGUAGGGUGCGAGCGUUGUCCGGAUUUAUUGGGCGUAAAGGGCUCGUAGGUGGUUGAUCGCGUCGGAAGUGUAAUCUUGGGGCUUAACCCUGAGCGUGCUUUCGAUACGGGUGACUUGAGGAAGGUAGGGGAGAAUGGAAUUCCUGGUGGAGCGGUGGAAUGCGCAGAUAUCAGGAGGAACACCAGUGGCGAAGGCGGUUCUCUGGGCCUUUCCUGACGCUGAGGAGCGAAAGCGUGGGGAGCGAACAGGCUUAGAUACCCUGGUAGUCCACGCUGUAAACGGUGGGUACUAGGUGUGGGGUCUAUUCCACGGGUUCCGUGCCGUAGCUAACGCUUUAAGUACCCCGCCUGGGGAGUACGGCCGCAAGGCUAAAACUCAAAUGAAUUGACGG
Molecule: ribosomal RNA, 896 nt
Filed under: uncultured bacterium
Lineage: Bacteria
Description: bacterial SSU rRNA
Rfam family: Bacterial small subunit ribosomal RNA
Source: RNAcentral